GACGAACGCUGGCGGCGUGCUUAACACAUGCAAGUCGAGCGGUAAGGCCCUUUCGGGGGUACACGAGCGGCGAACGGGUGAGUAACACGUGGGUGACCUGCCCUUAGCUCUGGGAUAAGCCUGGGAAACUGGGUCUAAUACCGGAUAUGACUCCAUAACGCAUGUUGUGGGGUGGAAAGCCUUGUGCGGCUAGGGAUGGGCCCGCGGCCUAUCAGCUUGUUGGUGGGGUGAUGGCCACCAAGGCGACGACGGGUAGCCGGCCUGAGAGGGCGACCGGCCACACUGGGGACUGAGACACGGCCCAGACUCCUACGGGAGGCAGCAGUGGGGAAUCUUGCGCAAUGGGCGAAAGCCUGACGCAGCGACGCCGCGUGGGGA
This 378-nucleotide ribosomal RNA is filed under the name uncultured bacterium. Its description in RNAcentral is "bacterial SSU rRNA". It matches the Rfam family "Bacterial small subunit ribosomal RNA", at positions 28 to 407 of the family's 1533-position model. The record is from RNAcentral.